GACGAACGCUGGCGGCGUGCUUAACACAUGCAAGUCGAACGGAAAGGCCCUGCUUUUGUGGGGUGCUCGAGUGGCGAACGGGUGAGUAACACGUGUGUAACCUGCCCUUGACUUUGGGAUAACUUCAGGAAACUGGGGCUAAUACCGGAUAGGAGCUCCUGCUGCAUGGUGGGGGUUGGAAAGUUUCGGCGGUUGGGGAUGGACUCGCGGCUUAUCAGCUUGUUGGUGGGGUAGUGGCUUACCAAGGCUUUGACGGGUAGCCGGCCUGAGAGGGUGACCGGCCACAUUGGGACUGAGAUACGGCGCAGAAUCCUACGGGAGGCAGCAGUGGGGAAUAUUGCACAAUGGGCGGAAGCCUGAUGCAGCAACGCCGCGUGCGGGAUGACGGCCUUCGGGUUGUAAACCGCUUUCGCCUGUAACGAAGCGUGAGUGACGGUAAUGGGUAAAGAGGCACCGGCUAACUACGUG
This 468-nucleotide ribosomal RNA is filed under the name uncultured bacterium. RNAcentral's name for it is "partial 16S ribosomal RNA". It matches the Rfam family "Bacterial small subunit ribosomal RNA", at positions 28 to 507 of the family's 1533-position model. The record is from RNAcentral.